RNAcentral lists this ribosomal RNA (456 nucleotides) under uncultured bacterium. Its description in RNAcentral is "bacterial SSU rRNA". It matches the Rfam family "Bacterial small subunit ribosomal RNA", at positions 340 to 786 of the family's 1533-position model. The record is from RNAcentral.
UACGGGAGGCAGCAGUGGGGAAUAUUGCACAAUGGGCGAAAGCCUGAUGCAGCUAUGCCGCGUGUAUGAAGAAGGCCUUAGGGUUGUAAAGUACUUUCAUCGGGGAGGAAAAACAAAACUAAUAAUUUUAUUUCUUGACGUUACCCGAAAAAGAAGCACCGGCUAACUCCGUGCCAGCAGCCGCGGUAAUACGGAGGGUGCUAGCGUUAAUCAGAAUUACUGGGCGUAAAGAGCACGUAGGUGGUUUUUUUAAGUCAGAUGUGAAGUCCCUGGGCUUAACCUAGGAACUGCAUUUUGAAACUGAAAUACUAGAGUAUCGUAGAGGGAGGUAGAAUUCUAGGUGUAGCGGUGAAAUGCGUAGAUAUCUGGAGGAAUACCUGUGGCGAAAGCGGCCUCCUAAACGAAUACUGACACUGAGGGUGCGAAAGCGUGGGGAGCAAACAGGGAUUAGAUACC